GAGGGUACAGCCCAGUGGUAGAGCGAAUGCUUAGCAUGCACAAGGUGCUGGGUUCAAUCCCCAGUACCUCCU
RNAcentral lists this transfer RNA (72 nucleotides) under Camelus ferus (Wild Bactrian camel). It matches the Rfam family "tRNA". Rfam says of the family: Transfer RNA (tRNA) molecules are approximately 80 nucleotides in length. Their secondary structure includes four short double-helical elements and three loops (D, anti-codon, and T loops). Lineage: Eukaryota; Metazoa; Chordata; Mammalia; Artiodactyla; Camelidae. The record is from Rfam by way of RNAcentral.